ACGCUCGACACCUACGGGAGGCAGCAGUGGGGGAUAUUGCACAAUGGGGGAAACCCUGAUGCAGCAACGCCGCGUGAAGGAAGAAGGUCUUCGGAUUGUAAACUUCUGUCCUCAGGGAAGAUAAUGACGGUACCUGAGGAGGAAGCUCCGGCUAACUACGUGCUAGCAGCCGCGGUAAUCUGAGCGGGCUGGCAAGGC
Molecule: ribosomal RNA, 198 nt
Filed under: uncultured bacterium
Lineage: Bacteria
Description: partial 16S ribosomal RNA
Rfam family: Bacterial small subunit ribosomal RNA
Source: RNAcentral